CUUUUGCAUUGGGUCCAGGAACUCGACAAUUUCUGUCCUUGCCAGCAUGAGUCCUGGUCCUUGGGAUCACUACCAAAUGUAAUAACAGCUUUCUUUCUGACAGGCAGUUGUCAUCACCCUAAGGACCACUCCUGCUUAGCUUGCUGUCAGAAAACCAGCCGAUUCCAGAGAAAGAGGAGCAAACUGCCUUUCCUCUGCCUUCCUGAGUGGCAAGGUAUGCCAGUGAGAAAAAUGAUGUUCUGGCCUUGGAACCACCUCCCAUGGGACCAGAUGCCAAGGUAAAUAUGUAGUUGGCUUAAAAUUAAGUGAUACCUAAGCUCUCUCUCCCUGCCCAUAUUUCCUGCCCUUGGUUAUUCACAGAGACUCUUUAUUUGUGCAGGGAUAUUAGAACAAGAGGCAACAUAUUUUAUUGGGAAGAAUACUGGAUUUGGAGUUAGCUGACCUGAGUUUAACUCCCACGCAUACCUCUAGGAUCAAAUAGAAACUCUAUUUGGCUUUCAAAAUCCUUCAUUACCUGAUCCUUUCUUACUGUUCCAGUGUUCUGCUAGUUUAUUCCCCUUUCAAGUACCCCCAGAUCCAGUGAUACUGCUCUCCUUGCUGUCUUUCAAAUGGGACACUCCAAACUCCCAAAUCAGCAUUUUCAUUGGCUACUCCUCAUGCCUGGAAUGUUCUAUCUUCAUUUCCACUUCUUGGCUUCCCUGACUUUCUUCAGGCCUCAACUUAAAGUCUUCCUUCUGUC
RNAcentral lists this long non-coding RNA (739 nucleotides) under Monodelphis domestica (gray short-tailed opossum). RNAcentral's name for it is "lncRNA (ENSMODG00000046119.1)". The record is from RNAcentral. Lineage: Eukaryota; Metazoa; Chordata; Mammalia; Didelphimorphia; Didelphidae.